UAAAGGAUCACCACGAUGCCUGCAAUGUGU
RNAcentral lists this non-coding RNA (30 nucleotides) under Mus musculus (house mouse). The record is from RNAcentral. Lineage: Eukaryota; Metazoa; Chordata; Mammalia; Rodentia; Muridae.